This 497-nucleotide ribosomal RNA is filed under the name uncultured bacterium. RNAcentral's name for it is "partial 16S ribosomal RNA". It matches the Rfam family "Bacterial small subunit ribosomal RNA", at positions 28 to 507 of the family's 1533-position model. The record is from RNAcentral.
GAUGGACGCUGGCGGCGUGCCUAAUACAUGCAAGUCGAGCGAACAGACGAGGAGCUUGCUCCUCUGACGUUAGCGGCGGACGGGUGAGUAACACGUGGAUAACCUACCUAUAAGACUGGGAUAACUUCGGGAAACCGGAGCUAAUACCGGAUAAUAUAUUGAACCGCAUGGUUCAUUAUUGAAAGACGGUUUUGCUGUCACUUAUAGAUGGAUCCCCGCCGCAUUAGCUAGUUGGUAAGGUAACGGCUUACCAAGGCAACGAUGCGUAGCCGACCUGAGAGGGUGAUCGGCCACACUGGAACUGGAACACGGUCCAGACUCCUACGGGAGGCAGCAGUAGGGAAUCUUCCGCAAUGGGCGAAAGCCUGACGGAGCAACGCCGCGUGAGUGAUGAAGGUCUUCGGAUCGUAAAACUCUGUUAUUAGGGAAGAACAAAUGUGUAAGUAAAUAUGCACGUCUUGACGGUACCUAAUCAGAAAGCCACGGCUAACUACGUG